RNAcentral lists this ribosomal RNA (227 nucleotides) under uncultured Pseudomonas sp. RNAcentral describes it as "partial 16S ribosomal RNA". It matches the Rfam family "Bacterial small subunit ribosomal RNA", at positions 1157 to 1374 of the family's 1533-position model. The record is from RNAcentral. Lineage: Bacteria; Pseudomonadati; Pseudomonadota; Gammaproteobacteria; Pseudomonadales; Pseudomonadaceae.
ACAAAACCGGAGGAAAGGUGGGGAUGACGUCAAGUCAUCAUGGCCCUUACGGCCUGGGCUACACACGUGCUACAAUGGUCGGUACAAAGGGUUGCCAAGCCGCGAGGUGGAGCUAAUCCCAUAAAACCGAUCGUAGCCCGGAUCGCAGUCUGCAACUCGACUGCGUGAAGUCGGAAUCGCUAGUAAUCGUGAAUCAGAAUGUCCACGGUCGAAUACGUUCCGGCCUU